This 69-nucleotide transfer RNA is filed under the name Marmota monax (woodchuck). RNAcentral's name for it is "tRNA.Thr". Lineage: Eukaryota; Metazoa; Chordata; Mammalia; Rodentia; Sciuridae. The record is from RNAcentral.
GGAAGUGUAGCUCAGUGGCUGAAUGUGUGUUUAGUACACAUGAGACCCUGUGUUCAAUUCCCAGCACCA